This is a long non-coding RNA of Vitis riparia (riverbank grape), 230 nucleotides long. RefSeq lists it as uncharacterized. Lineage: Eukaryota; Viridiplantae; Streptophyta; Magnoliopsida; Vitales; Vitaceae. The record is from RefSeq and is a predicted model, not a curated record. The transcript is spliced from 3 exons.
AAUGAUGUGAAUAUAAAUAAUUUACAUCCACAGUAUGCAGAUAUCGUUGGCGAUCCAAAAUUAUGUCAUACUGGGAUGUAUGCUAUUCUCUAUAUGCAACAUUGGGAUGGAAGUGGUCUUAAUAGAACCAUUAAUUCUGAACGCAUGAGCCUUGAAAGAUUGAAAUUUGCAACUCAUAUGGUUCUUGAUAGCGAAAACGAAAUUGGUGAAAUGGUUACAACUAAUAUUUG